Non-coding RNA from Gossypium raimondii (Peruvian cotton), 1560 nucleotides. The record is from Rfam. Lineage: Eukaryota; Viridiplantae; Streptophyta; Magnoliopsida; Malvales; Malvaceae.
CCCACUAAGUUUAAGCAUAUUAAUAAGUGAAGGAAAGGAAGCUUACCAGGAUUCCCAAAAUAACAGCGAACGAACCGAGAAAAGCCUAGCUUGAGAAUCAGGCACCCGAAUUGUAAUCUGAAAAAGUGUCUUUAGCGGCAGACCAGGCCUAAGUCCCUUUGAAAGGGUCAUCGAAGAGAGUGAGAGCCCCAUUAUGCCUGGAGACUGUCCCACUUUUGAUACGCCCGUCAAGAUGUCAUCUCCUAGAUUGUGGGAUCUGACAUGUGCCGUCUCAAUGUGCUUCGGCAUCUGCGUGCUCCGGACAUUGGCUUGUGGGCUCCCCAUUCAGCCUGUCUUGAAGCAUAGAUCGAGGAGUUUGACAUGUGUGCAAGUCAAUGGGCUAGAAAACCUGUAAGAUGCAAGAAAGCUGAUUAGCGAGAUCCCUCGUAGUUGCACCGCCAACCGACCUUGGUCUUCUGAGAAGGGUUCGACUGAGAGCAUGGCUGUCGGGACCCGAAAGAUGCUAAACUAUGCUUGUGUGGGGUGAAGCCAGAGGAAACUCUGAUGGAGGCCUGUAGCGAUACAGACAUGUAAAUCAUUCAUCUGACUUGGUUAUAGGGGUGAAAGACUAAUCGAAUCAUCUAGUAGCUAGUUCUCUUCGAAGUUUCCCUCAGGAUAGUUGGAGCCCUUAGCAAGUUCUAUCGGAUAAAGCCAAUGAUUCGAGGAAUCGGGGGCACAAUGCCUCCGACCUCUUCUCAAACUUUAAAUAGGUAAGACGGCGCGACUGCUUCAUUGAGCCACGUCACGAAAUUGAGAGCUCUAUGUAGGUAACUUUUUGCAAGCAGAAUUGACGAUACGGGAUGAAUUGAAAGUUGAGUUAUGGUGCCCAACUGCGCGCUAACCUAGAACCCACAAAAGGUAUUGGUCGAUUAAGAAGUAGGACAAUAGUUAUGGAAGUCGAAAUUUGCUAAAGAGUGUGUAACAACUCACCUGCCGAAUCAAUUAGCCCUAAAAAUGGAUGGCACUUAAGCGCGUGACCUAUACCUAGCUGUUGAGGUAAGGGCCAGGCCCUAAUGAGUGGGAGGGCACGGCGGUCGUUGCAAAACCCGAGGCGUGAGCUCGGGCGGAGCGAUCGUCUGUGCAGAUCAUGAUGGUAGUAGCAAAUAUUCAAAUGAGAACUUUGAAGGCCAAUGAGGGGAAAGGCUUCAUCUGAACGACACUUGCAAUGGGUUAGUCGAUGCUAAAAGACGGGGGAAGCUCGUUCGGUAGCGCGUCCAGUGGGAGCUUUGAAAGGGAAUCGGGUUAAAAUUCUUGAACUGGGACGCGAUGGCUGAUGAAAAUGUUAGGGAGUCUGGAGACAUCGGCAAGGGCCUCGGGAAGAGUUAUCCUUUCUAUUUAAUGGACUGCCCAUCCUAGAAACGGCUUAGCGGGAGGUAGGGUCUAGCGGCCGAAAGAGCACUGUACGUCGCGUGGUCUUCGGUGUGCCCCUGGUGGCCGUUGAAAAUCUAGAGGACCGGGUGCCGUCAGCGCCCAGUCGUACUCAUAACUUCAUCAGGUCUCUACGGUGAACAACCUCUAGUC